UGCAGAGACAGGGGAAAUAUGGAAACAUUUAAAGAAAGGAUGUGACUCACAGGAAGAGAGCCAAUCUGAAAAUUCAGAGAACACAGGGAGGAGACCAAGGAGAAAUCCAGAGUGAAAUGAAAUAACGGUUUGGGGAGCAGAUGGUGCAAUAUCUCAUUCUUAAAAGGACAAUGCCAACUCCUGAAGAUCUUGCUCUAAGUGGUCAAAGGGUGAGCAUACUGCAGGCAACAAAAGAUCGAGCAUACUACAGGCAACCAAGGGUCAAGACAAAUUUACAGGAUCCCUCCCUACCGUGGCCACUACCCAGCUUCCCAGUAGUGCCUUCCUAAUUUGCUGCCCAUGGUAAUGGAGACAAAUACCUGCAGAAGAACAUAAUCAAAACUCAAAGGAAAGUAAGGAGGAGCAAGUUUUUUAAAAGGAAUACAGUUUGCAAUCCUCUUGUUACUAAUUCUUGUUGAUAAUUGAUUUUGUGCUUAAAUCUCACAAGAAUAAACAGUUUUUAGCAAUG
This 508-nucleotide long non-coding RNA is filed under the name Homo sapiens (human). RNAcentral describes it as "HSALNT0214093". Lineage: Eukaryota; Metazoa; Chordata; Mammalia; Primates; Hominidae. The record is from RNAcentral.